UACGGAGGGUGCAAGCGUUAUCCGGAUUCACUGGGUUUAAAGGGUGCGUAGGUGGGUCUGUAAGUCCGUGGUGAAAUCUCUAGGCUUAACCUGGAAACUGCCAUGGAUACUAUAGGUCUUGAAUACUGUGGAGGUCAGCGGAAUAUGUCAUGUAGCGGUGAAAUGCUUAGAUAUGACAUAGAACACCAAUUGCGAAGGCAGCUGGCUACACAAAUAUUGACACUGAGGCACGAAAGCGUAGGGAUCAAACAGG
This 253-nucleotide ribosomal RNA is filed under the name uncultured bacterium. Its description in RNAcentral is "partial 16S ribosomal RNA". It matches the Rfam family "Bacterial small subunit ribosomal RNA", at positions 524 to 776 of the family's 1533-position model. The record is from RNAcentral.